This 175-nucleotide small RNA is filed under the name Mycobacterium sp. RNAcentral describes it as "Magnesium sequence". It matches the Rfam family "M-box riboswitch aptamer (ykoK leader)". Rfam says of the family: M-box riboswitch, also know as ykoK leader is described as a metaloregulatory RNA that sense divalent metals and function as a genetic control element of genes related to divalent metal transport in bacteria. It was first reported upstream of the B.subtilis ykoK gene and genes with related functions in other bacteria. Phylogenetic analysis of the distribution of M-box RNAs across bacterial genomes revealed that M-box riboswitches are most often employed for the regulation of Mg2+ transporter genes RNAcentral also lists the same sequence under 1 other name. The record is from RNAcentral. Lineage: Bacteria; Bacillati; Actinomycetota; Actinomycetes; Mycobacteriales; Mycobacteriaceae.
CAUGCACCUCGCUAGGUGAGGCGUCCGCUCGGAUACAGGCCACUGACCUCGAACGUCGAAAGACGCCCAGGGUCAGGACAGCUCUUCCCGGCUUAAGGGUUGAGCCCAAGUGGCUUCCGGCUUGAUAAGCCGGAUACGCCGUCCGGUGCCAAAGCUCUGACGAGAGGGGUGCCGC